This 492-nucleotide ribosomal RNA is filed under the name uncultured bacterium. RNAcentral's name for it is "partial 16S ribosomal RNA". It matches the Rfam family "Bacterial small subunit ribosomal RNA", at positions 30 to 507 of the family's 1533-position model. The record is from RNAcentral.
AUUGAACGCUGGCGGCAUGCUUUACACAUGCAAGUCGAACGGUAACAGGCCUUUGGGUGCUGACGAGUGGCGAACGGGUGCGUAAUGCAUCGGAACGUACCCAGAGGUGGGGGAUAACGCAGCGCAAGCUGUGCUAAUACCGCAUGUGAUCUGAGGAUGAAAGCGGGGGACCGCGCAGCAAUGUUUGGCCUCGCGCCUUUGGAGCGGCCGAUGUCGGAUUAGCUAGUUGGUUGGGUAAAGGCCUACCAAGGCGACGAUCCGUAGCUGGUCUGAGAGGACGACCAGCCACACUGGGACUGAGACACGGCCCAGACUCCUACGGGAGGCAGCAGUGGGGAAUUUUGGACAAUGGGCGCAAGCCUGAUCCAGCAAUGCCGCGUGCGGGAAGAAGGCCUUCGGGUUGUAAACCGCUUUUGGCAGGAACGAAACGGUGUCCGCUAAUACCGGGCGAUAAUGACGGUACCUGCAGAAUAAGCACCGGCUAACUACGUG